GCAAUGGGCCCGAAACCGGGUGACCUACCCAUGAUCAGGCUGAAGUGAAAGUAAAAUUUCAUGGAGGGCCGAACCGACCUCCGUUGAAAAGGCGGCGGAUGAAUUGUGGGUAGCGGAGAAAUUCCAAUCGAACUCGGAGAUAGCUGGUUCUCCCCGAAAUAGCUUUAGGGCUAGCCUCAUAUUAGAUACCCGGAGGUAAAGCACUGAAUGGCCUAGCGCCCGAGAGGGUAGCGAAGCCUAUCAAACUAAGAAUGCCGGAGUAUUGAUGUAUGGGAGUCAGACAGUGUGAGAUAAAUCUCAUUGUCAAAAGGGAAACAGCCCAGAUCUACAGCUAAGGUCCCAAAUUGUAUCUAAGUGGAAAACGAUGUGGAAAUACGCAGACAACCAGGAUGUUGGCUCAGAAGCAGCCACUCAUUUAAAGAGUGCGUAAUAGCUCACUGGUCGAGCGUCUCUGCGCGGAAAAUUUAACGGGGCUAAGAUACAAACCGAAGCUUAGGCUGCACGUAAGUGCGGGGUAGGGGAGCGUUGUGUAAGCGGAGAAACAGUAGCGUAAGCGGCUGUGGAGUUUACAGAAGUGAGAAUGCCGGAAUGAGUAGCGCGAAUGUGGUGAGAAUCCACAUGGCCGGAAACCUCAGGUUUUUGGAGGAAGGUUCGUCCGCUCCAAGUUAGGCGGGAGCUAAGGUGAGGCCGAAAGGCGUAGCCGAUGCACAGACGGUAGAGAUUCCGUCCCCACCGAAAGAUUUAAGCACAGGGACACUUUUUGAAGGUCGGAGCCAGGUGUUGGUUCUGGUAGUGAUCGAGGGAAAUUUAGUACCGAAGUCCGGCUGGAUAAGAGGCGAGAAAAGCUGUGUGUAUAUCUAAGGUGCCCGUACCGCAAACCGACACAGGUAGGUAGGAAGAAGAUUCUAAGGCCAACGGGAGAAGGGUUGUUAAGGAACUCGGCAAGUUGACCCCGUAACUUCGGAAUAAGGGGUGCUCACGAGAGUGAGCCGCAGAGAAUAGGCCCAGGCAACUGUUUACCAAAAACACAGGUUUGUGCUAAAUCGAAAGAUGACGUAUACGAGCUGACGCCUGCCCGGUGCUGGAAGGUUAAAAGGAGAUGUGCAAGCAUUGAAUUGAAGCCCCAGUGAACGGCGGCCGUAACUAUAACGGUCCUAAGGUAGCGAAAUUCCUUGUCAGGUAAGUUCUGACCCGCACGAAAGGCGUAAUGAUUUGGGCACUGUCUCAACAGCCCGCCCGGCGAAAUUGUAGUACCGGUGAAGAUGCCGGUUACCCGCGACAAGACGGAAAGACCCCAUGGAGCUUUACUGUAGCCUGAUAUUGGGUUUCGGUGUUGCAUGCACAGGAUAGAUGGGACACUGGGAAGCGGAUGCUUUGGCGUUCGUGGAGUGGACGUUGGGAUACCAUCCUUGCGACAUUGGAAUUCUAACCUGCGCCUCUGAAUCGAGGCGGGGGACAUUGUCAGGUGGGCAGUUUGACUGGGGCGGUCGCCUCCUAAAAAGUAGCGGAGGCGUUCAAAGGUUCGUUCGAUCUGGACGGAAACCAGAUGAAUGAGUGCAAACGCAUAAACGAGCCUGACUGCGAGACUGACGGGUCGAGCAGAGACGAAAGUCGGAGUUAGUGAUCCGGUGGUAUGUGAGUGGAAAUGCCAUCGCUCAACGGAUAAAAGCUACCCUGGGGAUAACAGGCUGAUCUCCCCCAAGAGUCCACAUCGACGGGGAGGUUUGGCACCUCGAUGUCGGCUCAUCGCAUCCUGGGGCUGAAUUCGGUCCCAAGGGUUUGGCUGUUCGCCAAUUAAAGCGGUACGCGAGCUGGGUUCAGAACGUCGUGAGACAGUUCGGUCCCUAUCUGUCGUGGGCGCAGGAUAUUUGAAAGGCGCUGUCCCUAGUACGAGAGGACCGGGAUGGACGAACCUCUGGUGCACCAGUUGUCACGCCAGUGGCACAGCUGGGCAGCUAUGUUCGGAUCGGAUAAACGCUGAAAGCAUCUAAGCGUGAAGCCGGCCUUAAGAUAAGAUAUCCCACUGAGUCAAUCAGGUAAGACCCCUUGA
RNAcentral lists this ribosomal RNA (2050 nucleotides) under human gut metagenome. RNAcentral's name for it is "bacterial LSU rRNA". It matches the Rfam family "Bacterial large subunit ribosomal RNA", at positions 706 to 2841 of the family's 2925-position model. The record is from RNAcentral.